This 72-nucleotide transfer RNA is filed under the name Bos taurus (domestic cattle). It matches the Rfam family "tRNA". Rfam says of the family: Transfer RNA (tRNA) molecules are approximately 80 nucleotides in length. Their secondary structure includes four short double-helical elements and three loops (D, anti-codon, and T loops). Further hydrogen bonds mediate the characteristic L-shaped molecular structure. tRNAs have two regions of fundamental functional importance: the anti-codon, which is responsible for specific mRNA codon recognition, and the 3' end, to which the tRNAs corresponding amino acid is attached (by aminoacyl-tRNA synthetases). tRNAs cope with the degeneracy of the genetic code in two manners: having more than one tRNA (with a specific anti-codon) for a particular amino acid; and 'wobble' base-pairing, i.e. permitting non-standard base-pairing at the 3rd anti-codon position. RNAcentral also lists the same sequence under 5 other names. Lineage: Eukaryota; Metazoa; Chordata; Mammalia; Artiodactyla; Bovidae. The record is from Rfam by way of RNAcentral.
UCCCUGGUGGCUCAGAUGGUAAAGAAUCUGCCUGCAAUGCAGGAGACCCAGGUUCAAUCCCUGGUUCAGGAA